RNAcentral lists this ribosomal RNA (444 nucleotides) under Janibacter sp. RKVR_V12. Its description in RNAcentral is "bacterial SSU rRNA". It matches the Rfam family "Bacterial small subunit ribosomal RNA", at positions 1 to 440 of the family's 1533-position model. The record is from RNAcentral. Lineage: Bacteria; Bacillati; Actinomycetota; Actinomycetes; Micrococcales; Intrasporangiaceae.
CACCUCCUUUAGAGUUUGAUCCUGGCUCAGGACGAACGCUGGCGGCGUGCUUAACACAUGCAAGUCGAACGGUGAAGCUCAAGCUUGCUUGGGUGGAUCAGUGGCGAACGGGUGAGUAACACGUGAGCAACCUGCCCCGGACUCUGGAAUAAGCGCUGGAAACGGCGUCUAAUACUGGAUAUGACACCAAUCCGCAUGGGUAUGGUGUGGAAAGUUUUUCGGUCUGGGAUGGGCUCGCGGCCUAUCAGCUUGUUGGUGAGGUAAUGGCUCACCAAGGCGACGACGGGUAGCCGGCCUGAGAGGGCGACCGGCCACACUGGGACUGAGACACGGCCCAGACUCCUACGGGAGGCAGCAGUGGGGAAUAUUGCACAAUGGGCGAAAGCCUGAUGCAGCGACGCCGCGUGAGGGAUGACGGCCUUCGGGUUGUAAACCUCUUUCAGC